RNAcentral lists this transfer RNA (72 nucleotides) under Urocitellus parryii (Arctic ground squirrel). RNAcentral describes it as "Spermophilus parryii (Arctic ground squirrel) tRNA". It matches the Rfam family "tRNA". Rfam says of the family: Transfer RNA (tRNA) molecules are approximately 80 nucleotides in length. Their secondary structure includes four short double-helical elements and three loops (D, anti-codon, and T loops). Further hydrogen bonds mediate the characteristic L-shaped molecular structure. tRNAs have two regions of fundamental functional importance: the anti-codon, which is responsible for specific mRNA codon recognition, and the 3' end, to which the tRNAs corresponding amino acid is attached (by aminoacyl-tRNA synthetases). tRNAs cope with the degeneracy of the genetic code in two manners: having more than one tRNA (with a specific anti-codon) for a particular amino acid; and 'wobble' base-pairing, i.e. permitting non-standard base-pairing at the 3rd anti-codon position. RNAcentral also lists the same sequence under 1 other name. The record is from Rfam by way of RNAcentral. Lineage: Eukaryota; Metazoa; Chordata; Mammalia; Rodentia; Sciuridae.
AGAGAUGUAGCUCAGUGGUAGAGCACUUGCUCAGCAUGUAGUGGGCCCUGGGUAAAAUUCCCAGCACCCCUA